Molecule: ribosomal RNA, 468 nt
Filed under: uncultured bacterium
Lineage: Bacteria
Description: partial 16S ribosomal RNA
Rfam family: Bacterial small subunit ribosomal RNA
Source: RNAcentral
GACGAACGCUGGCGGCGUGCUUAACACAUGCAAGUCGAACGGAAAGGCCCUGCUUUUGUGGGGUGCUCGAGUGGCGAACGGGUGAGUAACACGGGAGUAACCUGCCCUUGACUUGGGGAUAACUUCAGGAAACUGGGGCUAAUACCGGAUAGGAGCUCCUGCUGCAUGGGGGGGGUUGGAAAGUUUCGGCGGUUGGGGAUGGACUCGCGGCUUAUCAGCUUGUGGGUGGGGUAGUGGCUUACCAAGGGUUUGGCGGGUGGCCGGCCUGAGAGGGUGACCGGCCACAUUAGGACUGAGAUACGGACCAGAGUCGUACGGGAGGCAGCAGUGGGGAAUAUUGCACAAUGGGCGGACGCCUGAUGCAGAAACGCCGCGUGCGGGAUGACGGCCUUCGGGUUGUAAACCGCUUUCGCCUGUGGCGAAGCGUGAGUGACGGUAAUGGGUAAAGAAGCACCGGCUAACUACGUG